This 459-nucleotide ribosomal RNA is filed under the name uncultured Bacteroidota bacterium. RNAcentral's name for it is "bacterial SSU rRNA". It matches the Rfam family "Bacterial small subunit ribosomal RNA", at positions 338 to 795 of the family's 1533-position model. Lineage: Bacteria; Pseudomonadati; Bacteroidota. The record is from RNAcentral.
CCUACGGGUGGCAGCAGUAAGGAAUAUUGGUCAAUGGACGCAAGUCUGAACCAGCCAUGCCGCGUGAAGGAUGAAGGCCCUCUGGGUUGUAAACUUCUUUUAUUUGGGAAGAAAUCCUCAUUUCUAUGAGUUUUGACGGUACCAAAGGAAUAAGCACCGGCUAACUCCGUGCCAGCAGCCGCGGUAAUACGGAGGGUGCAAGCGUUAUCCGGAUUCACUGGGUUUAAAGGGUGCGUAGGUGGGUAAAUAAGUCAGUGGUGAAAGCUCCGAGCUUAACUCGGAAACUGCCAUUGAUACUGUUUAUCUUGAAUAUAGUGGAGGUUGGCGGAAUGUGUCAUGUAGCGGUGAAAUGCUUAGAUAUGACACAGAACACCGAUUGCGAAGGCAGCUGGCUACACUAUUAUUGACACUGAGGCACGAAAGCGUGGGGAUCAAACAGGAUUAGAUACCCCUGUAGUC